ACAUCCAUGUUUAAAGAACAUGGAGUGUGUAUGGUGGCAUGGUUAAAUAUUUUGGAGGCAGAAGGGGAACUUGUAUGCGUGUCAAUUUGCCAUCUAAGUGGCAGGUAGCAUUGAGUCCCUUGGCAUGGAUUAGAAAUGGAAUUCUCAAUCAGCUUCAAAGGAAACUAAUUAAUUGGUGAAGCAUUGAAUUGUGUUAUCAGAAUAGUUUUCUCACAGGAUUCAUGAUUUUCCCUUCUUUAUCCCCAAGUUAGACGUAAGCUUUCAGUUCUAUAUACAUGUAUAUACCUGUAGAAUCCUG
Molecule: long non-coding RNA, 298 nt
Filed under: Panax ginseng (ginseng)
Lineage: Eukaryota; Viridiplantae; Streptophyta; Magnoliopsida; Apiales; Araliaceae
Description: long non-coding RNA (PGIN_LNC006299)
Source: RNAcentral